RNAcentral lists this ribosomal RNA (253 nucleotides) under uncultured bacterium. RNAcentral's name for it is "partial 16S ribosomal RNA". It matches the Rfam family "Bacterial small subunit ribosomal RNA", at positions 524 to 776 of the family's 1533-position model. The record is from RNAcentral.
UACGGAGGGUGCAAGCGUUAUCCGGAUUUACUGGGUUUAAAGGGUGCGUAGGUGGGUUGGUAAGUCAGUGGUGAAAUACUUUCGCUUAACGAAGGAACUGCCAUUGAUACUACCAGUCUUGAAUACAGUGGAGGUAGGCGGAAUGCGUCAUGUAGCGGUGAAAUGCUUAGAUAUGACAUAGAACACCAAUUGCGAAGGCAGCUUACUACACAGUUAUUGACGCUGAGGCACGAAAGCGUGGGGAUCAAACAGG